GGGGUUCUGANAGGAAGGUCCCCCACAUUGGCAACUGAGACACGGUNCCAAACUCCUACGGGNAGGCAGCAGUGAGGAAUAUUGGUCAAUGGGCGAGAGCCUGAACCAGCCAAGUAGCGUGAAGGAUGACUGCCCUAUGGGUUGUAAACUUCUUUUAUAAAGGAAUAAAGUCGGGUAUGUAUACCCGUUUGCAUGUACUUUAUGAAUAAGGAUCGGCUAACUCCGUGCCAGCAGCCGCGGUAAUACGGAGGAUCCGAGCGUUAUCCGGAUUUAUUGGGUUUAAAGGGAGCGUAGAUGGAUGUUUAAGUCAGUUGUGAAAGUUUGCGGCUCAACCGUAAAAUUGCAGUUGAUACUGGAUAUCUUGAGUGCAGUUGAGGCAGGCGGAAUUCGUGGUGUAGCGGUGAAAUGCUUAGAUAUCACGAAGAACUCCGAUUGCGAAGGCAGCCUGCUAAGCUGCAACUGACAUUGAGGCUCGAAAGUGUGGGUAUCAAACAGGAUUAGAUACCCUGGUAGUCCACACGGUAAACGAUGAAUACUCGCUGUUUGCGAUAUACAGCAAGCGGCCAAGCGAAAGCGUUAAGUAUUCCACCUGGGGAGUACGCCGGCAACGGUGAAACUCAAAGGAAUUGACGGGGGCCCGCACAAGCGGAGGAACAUGUGGUUUAAUUCGAUGAUACGCGAGGAACCUUACCCGGGCUUAAAUUGCAGAUGAAUUACGGUGAAAGCCGUAAGCCGCAAGGCAUCUGUGAAGGUGCUGCAUGGUUGUCGUCAGCUCGUGCCGUGAGGUGUCGGCUUAAGUGCCAUAACGAGCGCAACCCUUGUUGUCAGUUACUAACAGGUUCCGCUGAGGACUCUGACAAGACUGCCAUCNUAAGAUGUGAGGAAGGNGGGGAUGACNCCNAAUNANNNCGGNCCUUACNUNCGGGGCUACNCACNUGGNANAANGGG
Molecule: ribosomal RNA, 948 nt
Filed under: Phocaeicola vulgatus
Lineage: Bacteria; Pseudomonadati; Bacteroidota; Bacteroidia; Bacteroidales; Bacteroidaceae
Description: Bacteroides vulgatus partial 16S ribosomal RNA
Rfam family: Bacterial small subunit ribosomal RNA
Source: RNAcentral